ACGCCUCUGCGGUGACCGCGAGCUGCCCGAAGAUUCUCCUUGAGCCUAAUUACGAUGCCCAGGGGGCGGGUGCUGACCCCAGUGUGCACGACCGCUCCGGCGGGAAGCCUGACGGGGUCACCGAAGUCCCCACCUGAACCUCCGGUUCAAGGGCAAAGGCGGCAACGGCACUGCGGAGCGCG
Molecule: non-coding RNA, 182 nt
Filed under: Gammaproteobacteria bacterium
Lineage: Bacteria; Pseudomonadati; Pseudomonadota; Gammaproteobacteria
Description: 6S RNA
Rfam family: 6S / SsrS RNA
About the family: E. coli 6S RNA was the first non coding RNA to be sequenced, but its function was unknown until recently. It consists of 184 nucleotides that fold into an extended hairpin structure with a large single-stranded internal bulge.
Source: RNAcentral